This 60-nucleotide transfer RNA is filed under the name Asiopsocus sonorensis. Its description in RNAcentral is "tRNA-His". Lineage: Eukaryota; Metazoa; Arthropoda; Insecta; Psocodea; Asiopsocidae. The record is from RNAcentral.
ACUUGAAUAGUUUAUUUAAAAUAUAAAUUUGUGGAGUUUAAGAUAUAAUAAUUUUAAGUA